RNAcentral lists this ribosomal RNA (468 nucleotides) under uncultured bacterium. Its description in RNAcentral is "partial 16S ribosomal RNA". It matches the Rfam family "Bacterial small subunit ribosomal RNA", at positions 28 to 507 of the family's 1533-position model. The record is from RNAcentral.
GAUGAACGCUGGCGGCGUGCUUAACACAUGCAAGUCGAACGGUGAAGCCGUAGCUUGCUCUGCUGGAUCAGUGGCGAACGGGUGAGUAACACGUGAGCAAUCUGCCCCUGACUUUGGUAUAAGCUCUGGAAACGGCGUCUAAUACUGGAUACGAGCUGCGCAGGCAUCUUCAGCAGCUGGACAUCACUUCGGUCAGGGAUGAGCUCGCGGCUUAUCAGCUUGUUGGUGAGGUAACGGCUCACCAAGGCGUCGACGGGUAGCCGGCCUGAGAGGGUGACCGGCAACACGGGGACUGAGACAGGGCCCAGAGUCGUACGGGAGGCAGCAGGGGGGAAUAUGGAACAACGGGCGAAAGCCGGAGGCAGAAACGCCGGGUGAGGGACGACGGCCUGCGGGGUGUAAAACGCUGUUGGCAGGGAAGAAGCGAAAGUGACGGUACCUGCAGAAAAAGCGCCGGCUAACUACGUG